RNAcentral lists this ribosomal RNA (897 nucleotides) under Annulusmagnus triseptatus. RNAcentral's name for it is "partial large subunit ribosomal RNA". It matches the Rfam family "Eukaryotic large subunit ribosomal RNA", at positions 95 to 1030 of the family's 3401-position model. Lineage: Eukaryota; Fungi; Ascomycota; Sordariomycetes; Annulatascales; Annulatascaceae. The record is from RNAcentral.
GAAGCGGCAACAGCUCAAAUUUGAAAUCUGGCCUCGGCCCGAGUUGUAAUUUGUAGAGGAUGCUUUUGGCGCGGCGCCUUCCGAGUUCCCUGGAACGGGACGCCAGAGAGGGUGAGAGCCCCGUACGGUUGGAUGCCAAGCCUCUGUAAAGCUCCUUCGACGAGUCGAGUAGUUUGGGAAUGCUGCUCAAAAUGGGAGGUAAAUGCCUUCUAAAGCUAAAUACUGGCCAGAGACCGAUAGCGCACAAGUAGAGUGAUCGAAAGAUGAAAAGCACUUUGAAAAGAGGGUUAAAUAGCACGUGAAAUUGUUGAAAGGGAAGCGCUCAUGACCAGACGUGUGCCUCGUGAAUCAUCCGGCGUUCUCGCCGGUGCACUUCGCCUGGCACAGGCCAGCAUCGGUUUUCCCAGGGGGAUAAAAGCCGCGGGAACGUAGCUCUUCCGGGAGUGUUAUAGCCCGUGGCACAAUGCCCUUGGGGGGACCGAGGCCCGCGCUCCGCAAGGAUGCUGGCGUAAUGGUCAUCAGCGACCCGUCUUGAAACACGGACCAAGGAGUCAAGCAUUAGGGCGAGUGUUUGGGUGUCAAACCCGCACGCGAAAUGAAAGUGAACGCAGGUGAGAGCUUCGGCGCAUCAUCGACCGAUCCUGAUGUAUUCGGAUGGAUUUGAGUAAGAGCCUUACCGCUUGGACCCGAAAGAUGGUGAACUAUGCCUGGAUAGGGUGAAGCCAGAGGAAACUCUGGUGGAGGCUCGCAGCGGUUCUGACGUGCAAAUCGAUCGUCAAAUCUGGGCAUGGGGGCGAAAGACUAAUCGAACCAUCUAGUAGCUGGUUACCGCCGAAGUUCCCUCAGGAUAGCAGUGUUGUUUUCAGUUUAUGAGGUAAAGCGAAUGAUUAGGGACUC